Molecule: long non-coding RNA, 690 nt
Organism: Vicia villosa (hairy vetch)
Lineage: Eukaryota; Viridiplantae; Streptophyta; Magnoliopsida; Fabales; Fabaceae
Exons: 5
Source: RefSeq, a predicted model, not a curated record
CUUUUUGAGAAAGUCCUAAUCGCAUUUCAAAGAGAGAAAACUCACCAGCCAUGGCAGUCGCUUCUCGCAUCGCAUCCAAAUACAAAUUGACAGAAGAAGGAAAAUAGACCAACUCAAGUUCAUAAACUUUUAAGAGAAAUGGAAUCAAAGAGAAGAGGAUAGGAUCUGAGCAUCCUGAGUUUUUUCCUAAAAAUCGUGAGUUGGGUCGUCUCUCUUUCUCUUUGUUUCAGAUUUGCUGAAGGAUUAUGCUCGAGGUGGAAUUCUUGCUGCUGUUGCAUCACUCUUUGUCGCAUUUUCAUCUGGAAGAAAUAUAUUGCAAUAUCGGCAUCGAAGCAGACUCUCCUUACUCAUCAAACAGUCGUUUGGGAUACUCAGUUCAGAAGGUAAAGGUCUUCUUGAUGUUAGCAUGGAUUUGAAUCAUUUCAAAGGUGCUUUUGAUUGGGUGGAAGCAAUAGGUCCUGUCGUAUAAUACCUAAUGAUGGAGCUGAUAGGCUAAUACGAAUUUCUAUUAUACAAUAAUAUUUUUACUCAUGAUACUGAGAAUUAAAAAAAGUUUGUUGCAGACCCGUGAAGAAACCGUAAAGAAGUUGACGGCUAAUCCUUUCAUAAACUAUGAACCAUGGUGUCAUUACGUGUAUUGUAAAUCAUAUAUUAGGUAGUCCAAUGCUUUUUGUGACGUGAUAAAAGUGA